Long non-coding RNA from Mytilus trossulus (common blue mussel), 2927 nucleotides. RefSeq lists it as uncharacterized. The record is from RefSeq and is a predicted model, not a curated record. NCBI's taxonomy places the organism in Eukaryota, Metazoa, Mollusca, Bivalvia, Mytilida, Mytilidae. The transcript is spliced from 3 exons.
AUUUUUCGCGCGCUAAUGAUGUAAACAAGAUGAGACAGUAGAAAACAUGGAAUUGAGGAUUAAUUCUAUGAAAAUAUGAUCUUGUACCCGGUAUUUUUACGCUACAUAUUGUACAGAAUGAUAUUAUUGACAACAUAUCCAAUGCCAAGAUUAGCAAUUAUAAUGUAUGCUCUUAAUAUGAUACAAUGAAUGGAACGGAAUCAAUUUCAUACACGUGUUUUCACCGUCACGGUUUCAACAUCUACGAUGAACAUGAUGAAUGGAAGAUUCUACAUUUGGUUGAUGAUAACAGUGUUUGACAAAAAUGUUAAUCAAUGGUGUGCAGAUGUCUUGUGUUUUGAAUCAGGACUUCAUGAAGACGGGGCAUGGACACCACCUGUUUCUUCCGGUACAUAUCAUGGAUGGUCCUUUUGACAACGUUCCGGUUAAAGUCGUCCAAGAUCCAAGGCUUUGGACCAGGCUUCUGUAUUGAUGACUUGUGGACUGCCUUUACAACAUCCUGCACUGGAUCCAAAGCCUCGAUCUUCCUCUUUAAUGUACUGAGGCUUAUACCUGAAAAUAGAGAAAAAUUAUUCAGAAAUAUUAACAUUCAUUUGUUCUGUGUUAAAUGUGAACACUUUAAUAAUCAACCAAUUACGAGAUAUUGAGAGUAUUAAUCUUUUCAGGAGAUUUUAUAAUUGUAUUUAAAGAACACAUUUUCUAGUACAUUUUUAUUUUGUAAAGUACUGGUUUGUGUGAAGCUGUCGGUUUCCUUAGUAAAGAAGAUGGACCAUUAUUUUUCAAUAGUUUAUGCAUAUUGUUUUAUUGAACUUUUUUGAUUUUGAAGCUAUGCAUGUGUAAAUAAUUUUGAUUGAAUGUAAUGACUAAAAUGUUUUUCUGUUUUUUGACGUUUCCUGAGAUAGUUUCAAACCUUACUUUCAUAAAACUUUUGAAAAUUGUCUCUAUAAAUUGAAACAGGCUCUUUUUUUUUAAUUUAAAAAUUCAAGAUCUUUAAACUGUUCUGAGAUAUGGGAAUUAUAAAUUAAGAAUAGGGGGAUGUCCAGUUUUAUAACUAUAACUCAUAAAGAACAGUCAGUGACUUUUAAGUAAAAUUUUCAGACAAGCCGUUUUAAUGUAAGUCAAGAAUUCAUAUUUGCCAGUGUCUUAACCAUAAAUAUUUACACUACCUGUUGCCUUCACCAUGCGUGACCAAGGAUCACUUAAACACCAUGGUUUUCCAAUUUUCUUUUCCAUGGUGAAAAAUUUUAAGAAUUUUUCAAGGAGGUGUGAAACCUGCAAAAAUCAAUGGCAAAUAUAAUUUUUAAUUUACACAAUUUCUUUUAUUAUAAUAUAUAGCUUUCUAAAUUAAGUGUUUUUCAAUAUAAAUUAUAUGAAAAUGUUUUAACUGUAAGUGUACAGUUUUUGAUUUCUAAAUUAUUAUUAACAAUUUAUUUUAAGCAGAUCAUAAUUUCUAAAUUGUUCAUCCUUGUUGUCAGAUUGCUGGCUUAAUAACAUUUUAAACUACCUAGUAUUUGAUGUGGAUAUACUCUUUAUUUUGUAUUUAUCUUAAUAUUAUAAAUGUUGUUUUUCCUCUUGAUGUCGUCAGAGCUGACGUUGUGACAAUGCAUGUAAUCCGACAUAAUUUUCCAUUCCAUUAUAAUUCUAGUAUUCAAUUAAUUCAUAACAGUUUUUAAUCAAUUUUGUAGCAUAGAUUUAUUUGUUUGUUAUUAUUCUGGGGAUGCUUUUUAUAAUUGUUGCAUGCAUUAGAAAAUUUAGCAUUGAAAAAUGUCAAUAUUGUAACCAACAAUUUGACAAAUUAAUGGGAGAUAAAUCUAUUUCUUAUAGGGAUUACCUCCCUUAGUAUACAAUUCCUGGAAUGAAUUCUGUGUAUAAAAAUUUAAUUGGGUGUGCUCAAUGGAUAGAAUAUUUUGUCAAGACACCCUUGGGUAACUGUUUAUGAAUUUUAUGAGAGUGUGAGUUAUUAUUUCUAAAAAUGAAACCUAGGUUGCCACAUAUUUCUGGCCUUAAAAAUCCAUUGUUACAAAAUUAACUUGUAUUUUUAGUCUGAUGUAAGUUAUUUCUUUUCCCUCACUCAUUUUUCUAUGAAUUAAAGUCCAUCAUUAAUAUUUCUAGGUGAAAGCAUACAUGUCCCUUUUUUGUAUAGGAAAAAAAUAAUAACGAUUUAAAUCAUGUAGUACAUAUACACAAUUGAAAUUUUAAUGUUAUGUUUUGAUAUUCAAUAGAGUUGUGGAUUUAUAAUUUUCUUGAAAUGGAUGUCCCUUGGCCAAUUUUCCUAGAAACUUUUGUCAAUGUCAUUUAUAUUCUUCAAGCAUUCAUGUCCUUUAAUUUUGAAAAAAAAAUAUUUACAUGUACACAAUGAAUAUUCAAUACUAUGUUUUAUAAUUAGAGUUGUGCAUUAUAAAUACUAAUGGAAUUCAUAUCCCCCUAUUUUUCCUAAUAAUUUCCUUGUAGUUUAUUAACCUAGGUAAAAAUGUCCAUGCCUUGUAUUAUAUAAGAUAAAUUCAAAUGUUGUUUAUAUAUUUUCAGAUUUGUGGUUUUUUUUUUAAUGUAGGUCUCCAGACUUAUUUUCUAUAAAAGGACAUCAUGUUAUUAUUAUUCCUAGCUUAUAAUGCCCAUACCUUUUUUUUUUAUGGAAAAAUAGAUGAAACUUUCAAAAUAUGCUCAUUUUAAUAAAAACUAUAAUUAUAAUUAAAAUUACUAGAAGAACAAGCAAUAAAACAAUUUUCCUAAGGAUAAAAAGUGUCAGAGUGCCACAUAUUGUACUUGUUAUGGACUUCUGCUCUAAGUUAAAUAAUGGUCAAAGACUUUACUAUCAAGGAUGAAAAGUUGGGCAGAAAAUUUUUGCAACUUAUGUCCAACUCAUAAAUGAAUAGGUUCUAAUAUAUGUUAUUUUAUUGUAAAAUAAAGGCAUGUCUCUGUGCGAACAA